UAUCUCUGGUUUCUCUUCACAUCGAACAAAUCUUUCGCCUUUUACUAAAGAUUUCCGUGGAGAGAAACAAAUGCGAGAACUCAACAAUUUUUAGAGGCUUCCCUUUUGGGGAGCU
This is a non-coding RNA of Calypte anna (Anna's hummingbird), 115 nucleotides long. NCBI's taxonomy places the organism in Eukaryota, Metazoa, Chordata, Aves, Apodiformes, Trochilidae. The record is from Rfam.